RNAcentral lists this long non-coding RNA (980 nucleotides) under Elaeis guineensis (African oil palm). RNAcentral's name for it is "long non-coding RNA (EGUI_LNC052922)". Lineage: Eukaryota; Viridiplantae; Streptophyta; Magnoliopsida; Arecales; Arecaceae. The record is from RNAcentral.
GAGGCUAGAAGCGGUGCAAUAAUUGAAAUGGAAAAUCUCUCUUCAGUUAUAGAUGGAAUCUUUUGUGUCUAAAUUUGGUAGGAAUAGGAGCAGUUGGAUAUGGGAGAGGGAAAGAAGGAGAUGUGAUUAGUUCUUGGGGAAGGAGGCAAGGAUGUAGGAAGAGAGGAAAUAUGAGAAAGAGAGAGUGUGUCAAAAAUGGAGAGAACUUGGCUUCCAUUUGAUCAAAGAUGGAUCUUUCUGUGAAUAUAUUUAAGAAUGGAACCAUUGCGAUUUUAGGAUAUUUAAUGAGGGAUGCGUUUGGUUACAUUUUUUGAUUUUUGAUUUUUAAAAAGUACUUUUUAUUUUUUUUAUUUUUGCUAUUGAAUAAAAGCAAAAAAGUAAAAAGUAUGUUUGAUAACUACGUUGCUAUAAAGCAAAAAGCAAUAUUUGGGGAUGGCAGGUGAAGAGCCCGAUGAGAGAGAAGAGUUCAGGAAGGAAGGGAGAAGAAGGUGGGAAGAUGAAGAGCUCGACGAGGAAGAAGGGUUCGGGCUCUCUACUUUUUGGUUUGGCAUUUUAGAUGUGCGGAAGCAAAAAAAGCAUAAAAGUAAGUUUUGGAAAGCAAAAAAUUUUUGCUUUGCAUAUAAAGCAAUUAUUUUGAUUUUUUUUUAUUUUUGCUUUUUGCUUUUUAUGGUGUUACCAAACAUUGCUUUUUGAUUUUUACUUUGUAAAAAUCAAAAAGCAAAAAAAGUACUUUUUUAAUGGCUAACCAAAUGCACCCGAGAUGAUCUGUUGCUUUUUUUUGUGAAAUAGAAAUGAAGAGGCAUGACUAAGAGAGUAACACCUACGGCACACACCAUGUGUACCCAAUGGAGCUUUCCGUUUUAAUUGAUGUAGAGUAUUUUGGCCAAUUAAAUGAAUAUGACCAAAGACCUACUAUUUGCUUUUAGGAGUACUGCAGAUAUACAAAUUUUCUUCAGCAGUGGUAACAUAUGCAUGCAUCC